RNAcentral lists this ribosomal RNA (543 nucleotides) under Paenibacillus sp. Its description in RNAcentral is "bacterial SSU rRNA". It matches the Rfam family "Bacterial small subunit ribosomal RNA", at positions 56 to 576 of the family's 1533-position model. Lineage: Bacteria; Bacillati; Bacillota; Bacilli; Caryophanales; Paenibacillaceae. The record is from RNAcentral.
UGCAGUCGAGCGGAGUNGAAUGGAAGCUUGCUUCCAUUCUUACUUAGCGGCGGACGGGUGAGUAACACGUAGGCAACCUGCCCUCAAGACUGGGAUAACUACCGGAAACGGUAGCUAAUACCGGAUAAUUUCUUUCCUCUCCUGAAGAGAGAAUGAAAGGCGGAGCAAUCUGCCACUUGGGGAUGGGCCUGCGGCGCAUUAGCUAGUUGGUGGGGUAACGGCUCACCAAGGCGACGAUGCGUAGCCGACCUGAGAGGGUGAACGGCCACACUGGGACUGAGACACGGCCCAGACUCCUACGGGAGGCAGCAGUAGGGAAUCUUCCGCAAUGGGCGACAGCCUGACGGAGCAAUGCCGCGUGAGUGAUGAAGGUUUUCGGAUCGUAAAGCUCUGUUGCCAGGGAAGAACGUCCGGUAGAGUAACUGCUACCGGAGUGACGGUACCUGAGAAGAAAGCCCCGGCUAACUACGUGCCAGCAGCCGCGGUAAUACGUAGGGGGCAAGCGCUUGCUCCGGAAUUAUUGGGCGUAAAGCGCGCGCAGGC